This 27-nucleotide ribosomal RNA is filed under the name Sporobolus spartinus. Its description in RNAcentral is "partial 28S ribosomal RNA". Lineage: Eukaryota; Viridiplantae; Streptophyta; Magnoliopsida; Poales; Poaceae. The record is from RNAcentral.
AUGACCCCAGGUCAGUCGGGAUUACCC